This 299-nucleotide long non-coding RNA is filed under the name Zea mays. Its description in RNAcentral is "long non-coding RNA (ZMAY_LNC002661)". Lineage: Eukaryota; Viridiplantae; Streptophyta; Magnoliopsida; Poales; Poaceae. The record is from RNAcentral.
AACUCUCUCUGAAAUGUCUUCAUCUGCAGGCGCAUGAAUAAGAUUAUCAUUCUCAUGCUCUUUCUCAUGGGAAUCUGCAGGUACAAUGUUAUCAUUGGUUAUCUUAUCAUCUUCCAUUUCUUGAUUGACAUCUGCUGUCAGGUCAUUUGGUUGAAAACUUUGCUGAACUUCAAUACUGCACUCAUCGACUGCUGUCAGGUCAUUUGGUUGAAAACUUUGCUGAACUUCAAUACUGCAAUCAUCGACAGCAGAGGUGCUUCCUUCAGAAGGGUAUGCACUUUCUGUGUUUGCAAGCUGGC